Molecule: transfer RNA, 64 nt
Filed under: Brachystomella parvula
Lineage: Eukaryota; Metazoa; Arthropoda; Collembola; Poduromorpha; Brachystomellidae
Description: tRNA-Arg
Source: RNAcentral
UAGUAAGAAGCGAAUAAAUUUUGCAAUCAAUUUCGACUUGAAUCUAGUUUAAUAACCUUACUUU